Molecule: ribosomal RNA, 1224 nt
Filed under: Aeromicrobium sp. Leaf245
Lineage: Bacteria; Bacillati; Actinomycetota; Actinomycetes; Propionibacteriales; Nocardioidaceae
Description: bacterial LSU rRNA
Rfam family: Bacterial large subunit ribosomal RNA
Source: RNAcentral
ACAGUGGACGCGAGCAUCUUGUAGCAACAACAAGCUACUAAGUGCACAUGGUGGAUGCCUUGGCAUCGAGAGCCGAUGAAGGACGUUGGAGUCUGCGAAAAGCCCCGGGAAGGUGACAACCGACCUGUGAUCCGGGGAUGUCCGAAUGGGGAAACCCACCUGGAGGAAAGUCCAGGUACCUCUGCCUGAACACAUAGGGCAGCUGGAGGGAACGCGGGGAAGUGAAACAUCUCAGUACCCGCAGGAAGAGAAAACAACCGUGAUUCCGGAAGUAGUGGCGAGCGAAACCGGAAGAGGCUAAACCUCAGUGAUGUGAUAGCCGGCAGGCGUUGUCACUGGGGGGUCGUGGGGCCGCAAUGCUGGUUCUGCCGAAUCAGCGAAGAGUCACAAACCAUGAGUGAAGUGGAAACCGACUGGAAAGUCGUGGCGUAGAGGGUGAGACCCCCGUACACGUAAGCUCAUGGCUCUUUUGCGUUACCCCGAGUAACACCGAACCCCUGAAAUUCGGUGUGAAUCUAGCGGGACCACCCGUUAAGCCUAAAUACUCCUCGAUGACCGAUAGCGGACUAGUACCGUGAGGGAAAGGUGAAAAGUACCCCGGGAGGGGAGUGAAAGAGUACCUGAAACCAUGUGCAUACAAUCCGUUGGAGCUCUUCCUUGUGAAGGGUGACAGCGUGCCUUUUGAAGAAUGAGCCUGCGAGUUAGCGUGGUGUAGCGAGGUUAAGGCGAGGGCCGUAGCCGUAGCGAAAGCGAGUCCGAAUAGGGCGUUUGAGUUGCACCAUCUAGACCCGAAGCGGAGUGAUCUAUCCAUGGGCAGGUUGAAGCGCGGGUAAGACCGCGUGGAGGACCGAACCCACCUAGGUUAAAAACUGGGGGGAUGACCUGUGGAUAGGGGUGAAAGGCCAAUCAAACUCCGUGAUAGCUGGUUCUCCCCGAAAUGCAUUUAGGUGCAGCGUUGCGUGUUUCUUGCCGGAGGUAGAGCACUGGAUGGGCUAGGGGGCCUACAAGCUUACUGAACUCAGCCAAACUCCGAAUGCCGGUAAGUGAGAGCGCAGCAGUGAGACUGCGGGGGAUAAGCUCCGUAGUCGAGAGGGAAACAGCCCAGACCAUCAGCUAAGGUCCCAAAGAGAUUGCUAAGUGGAAAAGGAUGUGAAGUCGCAGAGACAACCAGGAGGUUGGCUUAGAAGCAGCCACCCUUGAAAGAGUGCGUAAUAGCUCACUGGU